GUCGUAACAAGGUUUCCGUAGGUGAACCUGCGGAAGGAUCAUUGUCGAAACCCCAAAGAGCAGACUGCGCGCAUGUUCAUGUCGGGGCACAAUCAAUCAUGAUAAGCGAUCUCGCUGCCUAUUGUUGUUGCCUCACACACAACCAACCCACGGCGUGUUAUUGCGUCAAGGAUCACAAAUGCAGAGUGCAACCCCCGUAGGUCACCCGUUUGUGGUGUGUCCUGUGGGUGGGAGUUCAAUGUGCUCUUGAUAUUUAACAUGAUAAAAUGACUCUCGGCAACGGAUAUCUCGGCUCUCGCAUCGAUGAAGAACGUAGCAAAAUGCGAUACUUGGUGUGAAUUGCAGAAUCCCGUGAACCAUCGAGUCUUUGAACGCAAGUUGCGCCCGAAGCCAUCCGGCCAAAGGCACGUCUGCCUGGGCGUCAUGCAUCAUGCCUUCUUGUCUCCUUCCCGACUUGUCGAUAGGAGAUGUGAUGAGGUACAUUUUGGUCUCCCGUGCGCUCUGUCCGUGCGGAUGGCUCAAAUUGGAUGGAUCCCUCUGGUUGACGCACGUCACGAUCAUUGGUGGUUGUUUACUUGUCACAAGUGUGUUCGUGCAUUGUUGUGUCGUCCUGAUUGAGAAUCCGAACAAACCCAUUGGCAUGCAUCUCUUGCCAGCAUCUGCGACCCCAGU
Molecule: unclassified non-coding RNA, 672 nt
Filed under: Pinguicula crenatiloba
Lineage: Eukaryota; Viridiplantae; Streptophyta; Magnoliopsida; Lamiales; Lentibulariaceae
Description: partial contains ITS1, 5.8S rRNA and ITS2
Rfam family: 5.8S ribosomal RNA (bases 269-424)
Source: RNAcentral